Molecule: long non-coding RNA, 3427 nt
Organism: Triticum dicoccoides
Lineage: Eukaryota; Viridiplantae; Streptophyta; Magnoliopsida; Poales; Poaceae
Exons: 2
Source: RefSeq, a predicted model, not a curated record
AGGCCACAACCUCGUGCCUCUCUCCCCACGACCACGGAAACCUAAUCCAUCUCCACCCACAGCCGCCGGCUCCUCCCCCUCUCUGUUCCCGAUUCAGAUCCAUGCCCAGCCUCCGUCCCCGCGCGGCUGCCACCCCCUCGAUCUCCCGCGCCGCCGUCCCAACCAUCUCCCGCUCCACCUCCGUCUCUCACCCUCUAUCGCUCCUUCACCGCCCCCACCCUCUUCCCCUGUGCAGCCUACUCAGAUCCGAGAUGGGGGCACACGCGGCCGUAGCGUCGCUCCCGCCUCCACGUCAAGGUCAGUCCCCUGCUCGUCGUCAUGGGCGCGGUGGUCAUGAGGAAGGUGGUUGAGGUCGGCGAGAUGAACGUUGUCGCCUACCCGCUGGCCAGGACCAAGGACGGCUGCCCCGGCGCUCCGUCUUCUUCACAAUCUCGCGCUGGGAAAGGAGGGCGUGGCCACUGUUUUCUUCGGCACUCCUUGGCCUUUUUCGCAUCGCCACUGGUGACCUUGUCGGACCACUUGCUGUGAAGGUGGAGGAGAUAGCUGAAGUCGAGGGUGUUGUUGAUGACAUAAAAGGUGUUGAUAAAAUAGAGCCUUGUGAAGAACAGAGGAUACAAUAUAGAAACGUCAGUCGAAACUACUUCUGUAGUACAAAAUAAUUAGCUAGCACUACAAACUAUGCACCCUUCUUUGUCCUGAUGUUCCUAUCCUUGAAGGAUGUUGCCUCACACAUGACAGUAGCUGCACGGCCUAUGAACGAUGUUCCCUCCCCAACAACGCCUUUGUGAGCAUGCUCGUUGUUGGCGCUGUCAUGGCAGAAUCGUGCAAGCAUCGGCCAUGCAACUGUCGUGUGUAUAGCAGUGCUGAUCCUUAAAUAUCUUUGUUGUGCUUUUUGCAUCGUCUUAGUGUGUGUGCGCUUGUUUCCAUUUUUUACUUAAUUUAUUGCUUGUUGCAACACCUAGUUCCUCCUAGUUUGAUAGAGUUGUUUGUUUUGUUCACGGUGGAUGCAUGAUAUGUAAAAUCUCAAAUGGUAUUUAUAGUUACAUGUCUAUUUUGACAAAAUGCUGAUUGCUAACAUUUACUCUGCGUACCAAUUACUUUCUACCAUUCCUGAUUAUUCUGUACUGCUAUGUACCUUAUAUGAGAAAACACCACCCACUCUGUACUCUGCCAAUCAGUUUUCUAGUUUUCUUGGAAGAAAAUAACCAUUACUUGAAAACCAGCUAUGAGAUAGACUAGAUCAUUUAAGCUUGGUUGAUAGAUAAAAUUCGGUUCAUGUGCUGGGACAAGUGUACAUUUUUUUGUUCAGUGAAGAGUGUUUGUGCUGUUGGUGGUGACCUCCUCUGCCGCGCGCUGGCGGUGGCUGACUUGCACUGCGACCCUGGCCAUUGAGCUGAACCUGAUCCUGGUCCAUGGUUAGUUAGGGUGUUGGUGCUGUUUGGGCUCGAUUAGCUCAAUUCGAUGUUGUUUUAGGCUUGAGAAAAGUUGUUCUCUUGUUGAAAUGAGAGGGAUAAGGUAGGUGCUGCAGCUUUUGGCAAUCAUGUAUAUGCAAUUGUAGGCAACCAGAGAAUAUGUGUUGCAUUUGUAUGUCCUCAUGUUUAAAAUUUGUGUCUGGAAGUUAUUACUGGAUCUACUAUCCCAAUAAUUUUUUAUUUCCUAAAUUUCAUGGUAAAUCUGGAAGUUGCAUUGCAUAUAUGUGUAUUACGCCAUACUAGUAAACUUCUAAAAGCAAGUGGAGCUGAACCUUUAUAAUGCACUCUGCAUUCUGCAGAUUAUGCCAUACUUAUUUGCAUGUCAUGUUAUAUGAACAGGCACUGUGGUUGUGAUUGUUAUGCUGGGAACGAUGUUCCUCAUGGUCCCAGUAAUGCUGCUAGUAUGGAAGAGGCACUGGAUCCUUGUUGUCACAUUCCUUGAGCUCUUGUUGAUGGAGGAUAAAUGGAAAUAAGUGAUCAUCUAGUGGAGACACGGUAAGUUACAACCUCUUUGCUCUUCCUGUUCGUAAUAAGAAUGAAUUCUUACUCUAGUGUCCCAUUUACUUGUAGCUUUUAAAUUUUUGAUACACAAUAUAUAUGAUGCUUCCAUGCUUUUCAAGAUUUUUGCAAUAUUGUUUUUCUCUAUAUUGCACCCAGAACUGAAUGUUUGAUUGGAUUAGGCAGGUAACAUUGUGAGUAGGCCUUCUGGCCUGUUUACUUUUUGAUUGGACCAGGCGUUCAUGUAAACAUGAUAGCUCCAACUCUUGUUUCAAGAGUGAGUAGUACGCUGAAACUGCAUUUUAGUAAAUAGGGGUUACUUCUCAAAUCUAAGAAAUUUAAAACCAAUCCUCAUUGCUGACCGGCGGUGUAUAUACAAUAAUGGUAUAUGAAGAUGAACUUGGCAAAAACUCAGCUUUUACCUCCGAAAUAUAUGUACAGAAUUUCCAGAUCUAAUUUGAAAUGUCAAUUAGGAAAUGCUGAGCAUUAUCUUUGACCUUUCAAACCAAAAACCUACUGUAUGGACAAGCACAAAUCAUACUACUGUCCUUUGUUUAGAAAUGCUGAGCAUUAUUUUGUUAGUGGGUUUAUAUGGCCUCAACUUCUGCUGCUAUAGUACGUGAGUUUUGUGAUGUGUGUUUGUUAGUCAUUUGACUUUCAUUCGGCACACUUCUCUCUGGUGACCGCUUCCUCUCUGAAUCUUUAUCCCUAAAUUUUCUCUGAAUUUCUUCAGUAUCUUGUACACUGCAAGAUAACAAGUAGAGACAAACUGCAGGGUACCAAGUAGAGACAAACCGCUGCACUGUGGUAUGUAGCCUUCUAUCAAGAUCUGAUUCAGUUUAGAUUUCCCCCCUAGGUCUUGGAGAUAUGAUUUCUGUUACUAUAUUAAUAUAUCAACAUGUUCUAUUUAGAGUUUUCUCCCUAGGCAUUUCGUUUUCUAUCCUUGUUGUCUCCUGCAGAGCGGUGAAUAUGUAUUCCAGAAAUAAGUUCAAUCUGAAUCUAAGAAGAAAAUUACAUUGUUACAUUGUGGCAGUCCUAAUACAGAGGUUUAAACCUGUUUAUUUGUACUAUGCACAUGUAUUAGUCAGUCAAUUUAUUGUUGUUUUAUACUAGAUACUUUGUUUUUUUCAUCUGUAGGCAUUUCUCCUACUACAUAUUCAUAUCUACAAAUGUCUAAUGUGGUUGUGAAUAUGCUAGGUAUGUUGCUGUCCAUCAGAAUCUGCCAUGCCAUAUAGUUGCCAUCAGGAGGGUCGAUGACAAGAACAUGAGUGACAACCUUUGUAGUUAUAUGUUUUGUCUAUGUAAAUUGGAUUGUAUCGGUUCCUAAUCCUAUGGAUGGUUGCAUAUUGAGUGAUUUUGUCAAUAUAUGGUGUAUAUUAUCAUUUCAUGGAGGAUAUUAUAAACUGCUAGGUUCUACAUACCUAUAGAUGGUUGCAUAUUGAGUGAUUUGUGUAACA